GUUGUCCUCGAUCUUCUUCAUUGCAGACUCAGUGGUAAGCGGGUACUUGAGGAUCUGAUAUUGAUCGAGCUUGUUCCUCCCAGGGGUGCUGAUCCUGGGGUACUUGGGGUCCCUGGCCUUGGACAGGGUCUUGGGGCGGUGAAAUGUCACAGAAGUGCGGAUCUUCUUUGCCGUCUUCUUGAUUGACCCAGACUUCACAGCCUUGGCAACCUUGGCGGCCUGGGCC
This 226-nucleotide long non-coding RNA is filed under the name Triticum aestivum (bread wheat). RNAcentral describes it as "long non-coding RNA (TAES_LNC022788)". The record is from RNAcentral. Lineage: Eukaryota; Viridiplantae; Streptophyta; Magnoliopsida; Poales; Poaceae.